Long non-coding RNA from Lampris incognitus (smalleye Pacific opah), 558 nucleotides. RefSeq lists it as uncharacterized. The transcript is spliced from 4 exons. The record is from RefSeq and is a predicted model, not a curated record. Lineage: Eukaryota; Metazoa; Chordata; Actinopteri; Lampriformes; Lampridae.
UUUCUUUGCAGCAGUCUAAGAAGCUACACGUUUACGUGCCAAGAGGCGGGGGCGCGGGUCCAUCCCUGGAGGGGGGACAAGUGUUCCAUCUCGUGCCCGGCCAACUCCCACUACAAUGUAUGUGGCAGCGCGUGCCCAGAGUCCUGCGGCAUUUCACCUGACGGUCCCUGCCCAUGGCCCUGUGCCGAGGGCUGUCUCUGCGACUCUGGUUAUGCGCAACGUGGAAAGGGCUGCGUCAAAGCGGAGCAGUGCGGUUGCACCUAUCUUGGGCACUUCUUCGAGCUAGGGGAGACGUUCUGGGUGGAGGGAUGUGCCAGGCAGUGUAAAUGUUCUGCCCCUGCCACCGUACAAUGUAAGCCGGCUUCUUGCCCAGACGGGACCAGCUGCAGCUUUAAUGACUCCUGGGUCUGUGCAAGGAAAGGAGCUGAAGAACAUCAACCCUGUGAGACCGGACAGACCUGUGGACAACGGGGCCAGCCUCGACAAUCCCAGUGUUGGGUGCUGGGAGGCUCCCGCUUCUACACCUUUGACGGAGAGUCCUUUGAAUUCCAAGGGAAC